UCGUAGGCACACGAUUCAGGUGCCGGCACGAA
This 32-nucleotide small RNA is filed under the name Bombyx mori (domestic silkworm). Its description in RNAcentral is "ovarian small RNA-29137". The record is from RNAcentral. Lineage: Eukaryota; Metazoa; Arthropoda; Insecta; Lepidoptera; Bombycidae.